Molecule: long non-coding RNA, 231 nt
Filed under: Hordeum vulgare
Lineage: Eukaryota; Viridiplantae; Streptophyta; Magnoliopsida; Poales; Poaceae
Description: long non-coding RNA (HVUL_LNC007456)
Source: RNAcentral
AACAUCAACAGCAACAGCAGCAACAGUACCAGCACCAGCAACAACAGCAGCAACAACAACCGCAACAACGACAACCACAACGACAACAACAACAACAACGACAACAACAACAACAACGACAACAACAACAACAACGACAACGACGACAACGACAACGACGACAACAACGACAACAACAACAACGACGACGACAACAACAACAACAACAACAACAAUAACAACAACAACAAC